UGCGCAGGCGGCCUGAUAAGUCAGAUGUGAAAUCCCCGAGCUCAACUUGGGAACUGCGUUUGAAACUAUCAAGCUAGAAUAUGUCAGAGGGGGGUAGAAUUCCACGUGUAGCAGUGAAAUGCGUAGAGAUGUGGAGGAAUACCAAUGGCGAAGGCAGCCCCCUGGGAUAAUAUUGACGCUCAAAUGCGAAAGCGUGGGGAUCAAACAGGAUUAGAUACCCUGGUA
This 225-nucleotide ribosomal RNA is filed under the name uncultured Methylophilus sp. Its description in RNAcentral is "partial 16S ribosomal RNA". It matches the Rfam family "Bacterial small subunit ribosomal RNA", at positions 568 to 792 of the family's 1533-position model. The record is from RNAcentral. Lineage: Bacteria; Pseudomonadati; Pseudomonadota; Betaproteobacteria; Nitrosomonadales; Methylophilaceae.